RNAcentral lists this ribosomal RNA (465 nucleotides) under uncultured Carnobacterium sp. RNAcentral's name for it is "bacterial SSU rRNA". It matches the Rfam family "Bacterial small subunit ribosomal RNA", at positions 338 to 795 of the family's 1533-position model. Lineage: Bacteria; Bacillati; Bacillota; Bacilli; Lactobacillales; Carnobacteriaceae. The record is from RNAcentral.
CCUACGGGAGGCUGCAGUAGGGAAUCUUCCGCAAUGGACGAAAGUCUGACGGAGCAACGCCGCGUGAGUGAAGAAGGCUUUCGGAACGUAAAACUCUGUUGUUAAAGAAGAACAAGGAUGAGAGUAAAUGCUCAUCCCCUGACGGUAUUUAACCAGAAAGCCACGGCUAACUACGUGCCAGCAGCCGCGGUAAUACGUAGGUGGCAAGCGUGGUCCGGAUUUAUUGGGCGUAAAACGAGCGCAGGCGGUUCUUUAAGUCGGAUGUGAAAACCCCCGGCUCAACCGGAGAGGGUCGUAAGAAACUAGAGAACUUGAGUGCAGAAGAGGAGAGUGGAAUUCCACGUAUAGCGGUGAAAUGCGUAGAUAUGUGGAGGAACACCAGUGGCGAAGGCGACUCUCUGGUCUGUAACUGACGCUGAGGCUCGAAAGCGUGGGGAGCAAACAGGAUUAGAUACCCUGGUAGUC